This 146-nucleotide unclassified non-coding RNA is filed under the name uncultured Ascomycota. RNAcentral describes it as "sequence contains ITS2". Lineage: Eukaryota; Fungi; Ascomycota. RNAcentral also lists the same sequence under 1 other name. The record is from RNAcentral.
CACCCCCCAAGCUUUGCUUGAUGUUGGACGGAGCGAGGCCGCCCGUCCGAAACCCGUGUGGCGCCGACUGUCGAGCACCAGCGUAGCAAGCAAUCGUUCGCUGCGUGCCUCGGCCGUCGGUCGCCGUGAAUCUACCUUACAAACCA